Molecule: long non-coding RNA, 3973 nt
Organism: Sapajus apella (tufted capuchin)
Lineage: Eukaryota; Metazoa; Chordata; Mammalia; Primates; Cebidae
Exons: 3
Source: RefSeq, a predicted model, not a curated record
UAUAAAUAUUUUAUCCCAUUCUUUGGGUUGUCUUUUCACUUUGUUGACUGUUUCCUUUUUUGUGCAGGUUUUUAAGUUGAUGUGAUCCCAUGUGUCCAGUUUUGCUUUGGUCACCUGUGCUUGUGGGAUAUAACUCAAGAAAUCCUUGCCCACCCCAAUUUCUUGGAGAGUUUCCCAAAAUGCUUUUUGUAGUAGUUUUGUAGUUUGAGGUCUUAGACUUAAAUCUUUAAGUCAUUUUGAUUUGAUUUUUGUAUAUGGCAAAAGACAGUGCUCUAGUUUCAUUCUUCUGCAUAUGGAUAUUCAGUUUUCCCAACAUCAUAUUGAACAGACUGUCAUGGCGUUUUAUUUCCUAGCACUUCUGGGAUUAAGAAGGCAUAGGGAAGCAUCACUUCCUCUUUGCCUAAUUAUCGUUCUUUCGUGGUCAACAAUAAGAUUUUUCAGUGGUUUUAUCUUUUUUUUGGUUACUCAGAUUCCCAGUAAAGUAAAACAUUCCCAGGUGCAAUGCUCUUAUGCUGCUGCCAAUAGCUAAUGGGAGCCAGGAGGUGAUUUCAUCCUCAGGCACUCAGUGGAAUACAUACCUUGUAGUUGGCCGAUACCGAUCAAUGAAGCUUUGGUUUCAAUGUGACACAGUUGUUUCAGAAUUCACCUUGGGUUUAAUGUUCCUGGAGCUUUAUCCAAGUAUCUGCAAUUUUAUCUAGGUGUUUAUAUAGGUAGGCAUAUUUAAAAAAAGAGGUUGGCAACUAGACUUUUUUAGACAACUAAAUGGGAAAAAUGCCUAGUUCUAUGUAUUUGCUUCAUUUGGUUGCCUUGUUUUAAGAGAGAAACAUAUUUUUGAAUUAAAAAAAGGGCAAAAUGAACCCAGAGUAUUUAAUCAACUAUAGUAACCUUACUGUAGGUGCAGUGUGUCUGGUCAGGAUAACUCCAGCUGAUAUAGAUGUUGUACUUUGGAUCUUUGAAUGGGUCAUUGUGAGUAAGCAAGGUGAAGAAGUACAUAAUAGAAAAUUAAAAUCUUGAUUUGCAGUACUUUCCAGUAGUGACUGAAAAUUUCUUGGUCUGCAAUGUUUAAAAGAAUUAAGAUUUAUUUAAAUAAUUGUAUGAAGAAUUUACAUUCACUGUGAUAAACUACCUCAAGUUAUUAUUUGUAAUUUUCAUAUAUUUUGGUAUAGACUUCUACUCUUAGUGAGGAAGGACACAUUAAAUGGGUUUCUUAAAGUUUGUGUCUUGAUUCCUAAACUCUUAUGUUGGUGGUUAUGUGACUCAAUAGCCCAUAGAUCAGACUUUCAACAUCUGAAUUAUUUACUUGAAAUGACUGGCUAGACUUGCUCAAGGAUUUUUCUUUCAUUGGCUUCCAGUUCUAGUGUCCUUGAAGAGAAUAAUGAUAAUAAUAAUAAUGAAAGAACAUAAAAUGGAGGACACCUUUUUUGAAAUGGCCUUUUGGCUUUCUGUCACAGACUUUUCCUUAGCUUAGUUUCUACAGGUGGAUUGAUUAGCAAUAGAAGAAUAUUAGUCAUGUAUGUAUUUAUGAUGUAAAAUUUCUAAGUGGAGUGUCCUAGCUGUGCUUUGGGAAGGAUAAGACCUGAGAGUGAAUUCCAAUACCACAACUUUCUUCUGAAGCAUGUUUAAUGACUCAUUUAUAAAGCUUUGGGAAUGGGCAAGGGGGCUGAGUAGUGACUGACUUCUUGUCUGUUGCCAUGUCAUGGUGGCCAGAGUGGCAGAAAUGCAUGCUGUAGAGCCACAAUGCAGAGGGCUGCUAGAUUCUUUCUUAAAAAGGGUGUAUUUUAAUCUAUGUGGCUCAGAAGUAAUUUCGAAAGGACCAACGAAUACAAAUCUAUGUUUUUUUUUUUGAAAAGGAAAACAAAGAAAAAGAACAAGAACAAAGUAAAUCUCAGUGGCAUGUCAUCUGGUACAAUGAGUAACUAAGGAAGGCUCUCAUUCUCUUUCUUUUAUACCUAUCAAAAGGACUCUUCAGUGCUUGUUGAAUAAAAUUCUGUAAUGUGGCAUUGAUACAAUGUGGUAUAGUCAAAUGAGAGUUUAUCACUUUGAAGUCCUCUUUGUGGUCAGAUAAUGGUUUGAUCACUUAUAGCUGAAUGAUCUAAGAUAAUUACUUACCCCUCUGCAUCUCAUUUUGCUCACUGUUAAAGUGGAAACUAUACUACUAGGUAGGAUUGUCAUGAAAAUUAGAUAAUAUGUGCCAUGUACAUAGCACAGUGCCUGACAUAUAAUAGGUCUUUCAUAAAUGGUAGCUACUUUGGAACAUUAUUAUUGCUAUUACUAUUAGUACUGUUAGUAAUAAUAAAGUGUAAUUGCAUUGUGUUAUGUGACUGUUUUCCCUGCACACGGCUACAUCCUCUUUGUGGCUGAGGGAUCUUCAGAACCACCAAACAAGUAUUUUGGUCAUUUCUUUGAAAAAUUGCAUUUUUAUGAGAUAUCUUGUCUUUUGUAUUGUAUUUUGCUACCCAGUGAAAACAUUCAAUAUUAUGUCAUCUGUGAGAUCCAUAUUUUAGAACUCUUUUAAAGUCUGCUGUGGUCAGUUCACGGUCUUUCUCUUAGUUCUACAUUGAGGUUUUCUCCUCCAUGUCUUGGCUUUGGCUGAUCCCUCUCUCCCGACUUUCUAAACACUUUCUCUCUCUCUCUCUAUUCCUUGCCCCCAAAUUAUCUUUCUCUGUCCAAUUCAUAAGUUCUUGAGUAACUUAGUUUAGAAAACGAGUUCACAUGAGAGUAUUAUAGUUCCUGGAUAACAUUUACUUUAACUCAAAAAGUAAGCAGUGUGGGAAUUAGAGGUGUCUUGGAAGAAACAGUGGAAAACACUUCAAACUCUUCAGACCACACAAGUUAGCUGCCUCUUUAGCUUGUGCCAAAGGCUGGCUUUGCCAAUACCCUGCCUACAUGAGGCUGCAUCAAGAAUAACUAUUCUUUCCCUGUAGGCCUAGUUCUAAUACUCUAAGGGAAACCACAAUUAGGAGAAAUGCUGCUGGCCUUCUAUCAAUCAUUGUUACAUUUGUGAAAUAAUCCCAAUCUAACUGGAUGUCAAGAUCCUACAGUGUUAAGAGUUGGGAUCAAGGUUGACUAACAUGUGAUCUUAUUAUUUUUGCUUGCAGAAUGAGAAAAGAGGCUUCAAUUGGUUGAAUCAGUAGCAGAAAUGGAAAUCUUCUUCUUUUACUCAUGAAUGGAAGAGGGAGACAGAGUGAGCGUUUUGUACCUUUUAACAAGAAAGGGCCUGAGUUCCUACAUAGUUUAGCAGUGGGAGCCUGUGAUGCUGCCAAAGUCACAAAAGUUCAGGAAGAAGUGAAGAAGGCUGUAGCAGGAUGAUACGAUAUUCUACAGUGUUCACACAGAGGUGCUACAUGGCUGGCCAAGAAAUUCUUACUAGGAAAUUAGCUAUGUAGUCCUACUUCUUUAGGCAGAAGACUCAUCAGAAGACCAUAUUCCAAAGAUAUUGAAUUCCAUUGAAGGAUUUUUCUGCCCCAAUUGAAAUAAUUUUUCUGCUGUAAUCCAGUCAUGUGGUGAGUGACAUUAAUUAAUUUUAUAACUUUACAUUUUUGGGAUGAUCAAAAACUCAUUUUGAUCAUGAUGUAUUAUCCUUUUCAUGUGUUGCUGGAUUCAAUUUGCUAAUGCUUUAUUUUGUAUCUUUCCUCAUGACUACUUUUUCUUUCUUGUGCUCUCCUUGUCAAAUUUUUGUAUCAAGGUUAUGCUAGUCUUAUAAAAUAAAUUUGGUCAGGUUUUUUUUUUUUUUUUCUAUUUCUGUAAUGUUUUUGAAAGAUGUAAAUUAUAUAACCUCAUAGAAUUUGUUGGCUAAAUAAUCUCAGAUUUGUAUUCCCUUUGUGGGAAAUGUUUUGACUUUGGACUCCACUUAUCUAUAGUUAUAGAAUUAUUCAAACUUUUUAUUUAUUUUUUACAGCAAUUUUUAGACAGUUAUAUGUUUCUACGAAUUUGUCCUAUUUAAGUUCAGUUUUAAAAUUAUUGGUAUAAAGUU